CCAGCAGCCGCGGUAAUUCCAGCUCCAGUAGCGUAUAUUAAAGUUGUUGCAGUUAAAAAGCUCGUAGUUGGAUUUCUGACUUCAGGCGCCUGGCCCGCCGUUUAUAGCGUGUGAGUGCCGGAGCGCCUGUAUCAUCCUUUCAGAGAAUGCGUCUGCUCUUUAACGGAGUUGGACGUAGGAUCUGGAUCUUUUACUUUGAAGAAAUUGGAGUGUUUAAAGCAGGCUUACGCCAGAACAUAUUAGCAUGGAAUAAUAAUUUAGGACUUUUGUCCUAUUUUGUUGGUUUCUAGGACGAAAGUAAUGAUUGAUAGGGAUAGUUGGGGGUGCUAGUAUUCGGCGGCCAGAGGUGAAAUUCUUGGAUUCGCUGAAGACUAACUUAUGCGAAAGCAUUCACCAAGGAUGUCUUCUUUAAUCAAGAACGAAAGU
RNAcentral lists this ribosomal RNA (426 nucleotides) under uncultured eukaryote. RNAcentral's name for it is "SSU rRNA". It matches the Rfam family "Eukaryotic small subunit ribosomal RNA", at positions 567 to 990 of the family's 1831-position model. The record is from RNAcentral.